This 288-nucleotide unclassified non-coding RNA is filed under the name uncultured fungus. RNAcentral describes it as "partial contains 5.8S rRNA, ITS2 and 28S rRNA". It matches the Rfam family "Eukaryotic large subunit ribosomal RNA", at positions 668 to 961 of the family's 3401-position model. The record is from RNAcentral. Lineage: Eukaryota; Fungi.
AAGGAGUCUAACAUGUCUGCGAGUAUUUGGGUGUCAAACCCGAGCGCGCAAUGAAAGUGAAUGCAGGUGCGAUCCGCAAGCUGCACCUUCGACCGAUCUGGAUCUUUAGUGAUGGAUUUGAGUAAGAGCAUAUAUGUUGGGACCCGAAAGAUGGUGAACUAUGCCUGAAUAGGGCGAAGCCAGAGGAAACUCUGGUGAGGCUCGUAGCGAUUCUGACGUGCAAAUCGAUCGUCAAAUUUGGGUAUAGGGGCGAAAGACUAAUCGAACCAUCUAGUAGCUGGUUCCUGC